GAGACCUUACCUGUCAUGGUCUUAUUCGACCUCUCAUCUAUGACUCUCUCCUUCGUCGGCUUGUCCUUCUCCGCUCCGUUCGUUGCAAGCGUUCGACCGCUCCGUUCGUAGCCUUGUCCUCCUCCGCUCCGUAGGCGAAAUCAAUCGUUUUCUUCCUCCUCCGCUUCGUUCGUUGCAAGCUCGAGUCCUCCGCUCCGAUCAAACCUCCCGAGUUGAUGCGUCUCCACGCAGUCUGCUUCCAUGAAUUGAAGACUGCGGUGGUGUUGCUGGGAGAUACGGAGAUUCAUUUAGUGGCGAUGCCGAGCAAGGAGAAGAAGUUCCCUUGUUUCUAGUGUUUCUCAGUCUCUUUAGGUCUUUAUGAUUUCUUAUUCGGAUCAUUCCUGAGGUUAGUAGACAAUCGAGAGCGCUUUGUUCAUCCUCUGAACGAUUUUGAGUGUUUGUGAUAUAGGAUUCUAUUAGAGAGAUUGUUUAUGAGUAUAACGUUUACGAGCAUAUGGUGAUUACUAAGAUCAAAGGUCUGUUUCUACACUCAGUGCUUUGAUUUGCUCUCGUUGUUGUUAUCUUAACGUCAUGUGAUGAUUCAAUGUUUGUAUGCAGAUGGUGUAAACGUUGCUGCAUCUCAUCCUCUAAUAUCAGGCGGUUUAGCCUUUGGUGUUGGAGUCUUUGCUCUGAAAAGUGUUCUGAAGUUUAGAUGUGGUUGUAAAGUAAGUAAGCUUUAACAUGUUGUCUUGGUCUGUGCUGGAAUGAUGUUGCAAACCCAACAUCUUUUGCUUUUUCGGUUGUUUUUUGUGAAGAACACUUGGUUUAACAAUGAAUAUAACCCAACGUUAUGCAUGGCUUGCUCUGAGUUUAACCCAACGUCUAUU
This is a long non-coding RNA of Brassica oleracea var. oleracea, 866 nucleotides long. RefSeq lists it as uncharacterized. The transcript has 3 exons. The record is from RefSeq and is a predicted model, not a curated record. Lineage: Eukaryota; Viridiplantae; Streptophyta; Magnoliopsida; Brassicales; Brassicaceae.